Xyrichtys novacula (pearly razorfish) is the source of this 2956-nucleotide non-coding RNA. The record is from the annotation of a GenBank genome assembly. Lineage: Eukaryota; Metazoa; Chordata; Actinopteri; Labriformes; Labridae.
CUUUUCAGUCAAACAAAUACACAAAGUACUCAAAAAAAUGGAUUUAAUUGUCAACAAUCAAUAUUUGUGCAUUGAUUCUUUACUUAAGCCAUUGUACACCAAUUAAUCUGGUUCUGCCUGAGAUUUCUGCCUGUUUCAGGAGUUUUUUCUCGCUGCAGUUACCAGAGAGCUUCCUCUUGUGUUAGUAAGUGGCUCAUCUCUCUAAAUAAUACAACAGAGUUUAUUUCAGAGCUUUUUUUUUUAGAUAAGUUUUGUUUUGAUUUUGUGUUGAUGAAUAAUUGAAAAAGUCAAAAAGCUUGAGUGGUUAAAAAAAAAGGAAAUCUGGAUUAUGUUCUUGGUUAUGCUGCAAUAAAAAGCAAACCAGCACCUUGUCCUACAGCUGAACUUCAGCGCCUCAUUGUGAUGCCACUGGUGAGAUCUGCCUGUCUUUACGCGGCCACAGAGAGUCUCUCCUGGCCGCCUCGGGCUAUCCUGACAGUCGCAGGGUGCUGUCUGGAAGAAUUAAAAUCUCUAUUUAUCAGGGCUCUACUGAAGCUGCCCGGGGACUGGCCGGGGAAAUGGCAAACAGUCGGCCGUCUCACUGCAGAGGGACUCAGAUGAGGAGUUCAACAUGCCGGGAUGUGCCUGUGCAGGUCUCGUCUUGACAGUGUAUGUGAUGUAAAAUAUGGAAAAACUUCCCUGUCCCUGCUUUACACUUUGUUUCACUUGAAGUCUGAGCCAGCUUGUGCGCUUUCCUGAAUGUAAAUCACUCUUUAAUGUUAUUCCAAAAGAGCAAAUUGAAGCCUGAUCCUUGAAUACAAACAGUGUAGGUGAAUGUAUAAGUAUGUGGAUCCACCCUGCAGAGCGCUGCUGCACAUUAAAGCGGGGACUGUGUCGCCUCCUGCAGAUGUUCUCCAUCACAGCAGCGGUAGGCAGCGUUUCUUCUGACAAAGAGGGAGGACAGGACAGGAGGAAGCAAUCAGGAUCCUCUUAACUCAGAUCAGAUCAGAGCUCUACUGAACUCUGCUGGACAAAUCAAGCAAGUGUAAGUCAAUCACAGGUGACACACACAUAACACACACAAAGAUGCUUAUAGCUGUACAUGGUUAACAUGAUUGAAAAGUCAUUGAUUAUAGUUGAUUAGAUGGUAAACUGCUGCUUUCUGCUCGUCUCUUCUUAUCAGGUAAUUUGCUUCAUUUUGGUCGUAUGAUCACAUCACGCCAAUUUUAGGAUCUCUGCAUCGGUUACCUGUGUCUUUUAGAGCAGAUUUUAAGGUUCUUUUAUUGGUGUUUAAAGCUCUUAAUGGUCUUUGUCCUUCUUAUUUAUCUAAUUUGCUUUUACCAUAUGAGCCCACUGAGCAUUUUUGGUCUAAAAGAGGUCUAAUAGACGUCUAAAUGUAGCCUAGACAACUGGUGUAAAAUCAGGCUACCACAGGUCUAAAAAUGAACGUUUUUUAGACGUCUAAAUUUAGACCAAGUUUAGACUAGUCAGCUAACUGUAUAUUGCUCAACGGCUAUCAUAAUUGUUUUGGUUAAGUACUUGGAGAUCAGUUAUGCAACUAACAGUUGCUUUUUCAAACAAAUAGUUCUUGAAUAAUGGGUUAAAGUGCAAUGUUGAAAUUCUGUCUAAAAAUAUACAGAAUCUAGACGUUUGAAAUGAGGUCUAAAAAUAAACUAGACGUCUAAUAGCCGUCUGUUGCUCAGUGGGGAUUCCUCAGGUGGUGGUCUUUUAACUGUUUCCAAAGUAAAAACUAAAACAUAUGGUGAAUAAUUAUUCCAUUAUUACGGUCCCCAUCUGUGGAACAGCCUACAUGCAGACCUGAGAGCAACACCUACUGUUCAUAUUUUUAAUUAAGUAAACUAAGGACCGACCUUUUUAGUCUGGCUUUUAGUUAAAUUUUGUUUUAAUCUUUUAAUCUGCAUUAAGUGAUUUUACUCUAUUUUAAUCAUAGAUUAACUAUUUUGUGUUUUAUCACCUCUUUUUUUAAUUUACUUUCUGUUAUUGUUUGAUUUUAAGACGGUUUUAUUUAAUUAACUUUUAACGCUUUAUCACCUUUAUUAUAUUUGAUCAUGGUUUUAUCGUUAAAUCCAGAGUUACCUCAGUCAUCUGUGACAAGUUGAAGAGUCCUCACCUGGUCUUUUGUGUGUGUAGGUGCUGUGUGUGUUGAAUAGGGGUUAGGAGGGUGGAUGGGGUUUGGUAUUUUUUUUUUUUUUUUUUUAUUUCAUUGUUUUUAAUAUCCUGCUUGAUUGGACAGCACUUUGUGUUACAUUCUAUAUAUGAAAAGUGCUUUAAGAUUAAAGUUCGACUGAAGUUUGACUGAUGAUGUGUUUUAGUUUAGUAGGUCCAUCAUCAGACUGUGAAAAUCUUCUGGUUUUUUGGUUCAGCAUUCGUUUGCAGCUGCUGCCUGAUUUGAGGAUUUGAGGGCGAACUAGAAUCCUGAUUUGAAUCUCAUGAAUGCAGUCAAGGACUUACACUAGGGGGCGCUUUAACCCAAUGGUUGUUCACUCAGAUAGUUCAAGCAACAUGAAUCCACAAUGCAGUAAAAACUCUUAAAUGAAUCUCACCUUAAAAACAUGAGGCCUGGAUGCCUGUACUGAUUCUGGUAGCUUAUUUAACUUAUUGGUAUUAUUAUUUUUAUCUUAUUAUUCUUAGUUUUUCUAUAAUGAUUGUUGUUGUAUGCAAGAAAAGAUUGAAAUGAUUGGCUGAUUGGAAGCAGCUCUUUGAUUGGACAAAUAAAAACAGCCUUCUGGUCUAUUUGGAGCUAUUUUUCAGGGCUCACUUGUGUAAUUUGAUGAAUUUACAUCAUACUGUGUUGAAUCAAAAGCACAAUCGGGACUUAAAUUGUCAUGUUAGAUUUAAAUGAGUGGGUCUUGAAUCCUAAGACCUGUUUCCUAUCACUCUAUCACUUACACAAGGCGGGGCCGCUUUUCACUCUCGGUCACUUUAAAGCACCAAGCUGUAAAAGAUGAAGACAAGC